This 499-nucleotide ribosomal RNA is filed under the name uncultured bacterium. Its description in RNAcentral is "partial 16S ribosomal RNA". It matches the Rfam family "Bacterial small subunit ribosomal RNA", at positions 28 to 507 of the family's 1533-position model. The record is from RNAcentral.
GACGAACGCUGGCGGCGUGCCUAAUACAUGCAAGUCGAGCGAAGUUUUUCUGGUGCUUGCACCGGAAAAACUUAGCGGCGAGCGGGUGAGUAACACGUAAAGAACCUGCCUCAUAGACUGGGACAACUAUUGGAAACGAUAGCUAAUACCGGAUAACAGCAUUAACUGCAUGGUUGAUGUUUAAAAGUUGGUUUUGCUAACACUAUGAGAUGGCUUUGCGGUGCAUUAGCUAGUUGGUGGGGUAAAGGCCUACCAAGGCGACGAUGCAUAGCCGACCUGAGAGGGUGAUCGGCCACACUGGGACUGAGACACGGCCCAGACUCCUACGGGAGGCAGCAGUAGGGAAUCUUCCGCAAUGGGCGAAAGCCUGACGGAGCAACGCCGCGUGAGUGAAGAAGGAUUUCGGUUCGUAAAGCUCUGUUGUUAGGGAAGAAUGAUUGUGUAGUAACUAUACACAGUAGAGACGGUACCUAACCAGAAAGCCACGGCUAACUACGUG